AUACACUGAUUUUGAAUGGAUAUAACUCUUCAAAAGUAAGUAAUUGCUUAAAUACUGAAGAAAAAAAUUAUUCUUUCAAAGCUGGUGACUUGCUAACUUCCCUCUCAUCCUGCUACCAGUCAAUAGACUACGUAAAAGAAAAUAAAAGAAACAACAGGACCGCACUUACUACAUAUACAUUAUACCUCUAGACAUGUACUAAAGAUGCAACCAAAUUGCAGCACAUUUUUCUGCUCUGGUUCAAGCUGCAUGUUUCCUACGUCCUACCUCAGCCAAAGAAACAACUUCAACUCAAUUCUAGGUAGCUGCAUUGCCUAUGUCUGAAACCCAACAUACGAUUGAUAUUCCCAGCUGCAUUGUCUAUGUCUAAAACCCAGCAUACAAUUGCCUUAUGUGCUAGAUUCUCAAGAGAAGUUUUAUUGUCGCUUCUGCAGAAAGUAGAAGCAUUAUUACAUAAAUAAUAAUGCUCUAGUAGUGCAGAACUGGAUUGCAUAAUAAGUUGUGGUACAUUGGGCAACAGAGAAGCUAUGCAUUGGGUAUUAAUUAUCUUCUGAAACUGUAGUACAUACCUCAGGUGAAGCAUGGUCAGACGGAGUUCCGGUGAAGGGUGGAGCACGAGCGGAUAGUGUUCCUGCUAAGUCGGCGGAACGACGAGAUUGGAUGGAUACCGCCUGUGACCCGGUCAUUCAGCAGUAUCUAGGGGCCACUUUAGGGACUUCGUCAUGCACAACUGCGUCUCCAUCGAUCCCUGCCCCAAUGAACACCUUGCCGGAUGCCAGAGUUCCACACCAAUGAACACCUUGCCAGAUGCAUGCCUAUACAGAGGGAGUACACGUGAAAGAACAUUAAUUCCAUGUAGUAAUACUGCUUAUGUGAACUAAUUAUGGUAAACAAAAUUUCAGCUAAAAUAAAGAAAGAUUGAAAACAGUUUAAAUAAGUUUUCGAAUAUUUUAGUUAUUCAUACAAACAUCUUCAUGAAAUAUGGCUGACAACCUCCAUAUCAACAAACAUGCAAUUACAGAUAGUUACAACUAAACUUGUCUGUCGUUGUCUUACUUCAAAGUAGGUGAGUACCUUGUCCAGCAGUGGCCUGAGCUUGGACAAUUCAUAUCAUUGCACAUAUAUUUUUCCUACAUGUAUUAUGACAAUUUGUUCAGAAAAGCAGGUUAACUAAGAAAAGAUGAAUAUAUAAAGAUUUAUAUAUUAGAUCUGACAUCAUAAAUCUCCAAACAAUUUUGUGCUCCCACUCUCUGCCAGCAUUACAGAAGAUGAGAAACUCUAGGCAAUUUCCAUGGAAAUUUACCACAUAUCAUGGAACUGGUAUAUUAUAUCAUACCAUGGUACACAAUAUUUCUUCUUUAUCCUUUUUGUAAUUCAAGCUUCAAAGAAAUAGCCAAUGAAAAGGUACUGAAAAUGUCAAAACAUUGGGCAAGAUUCGUGAGAAUGUCUGCUAGUAUAACAAUAAAAUAGACAGAUAAAUAACCAAGCAAUAAGUAGAUGGUAAGAAACUAAGCAUGGAUGUCAUUUUGAACCAAGCCUGAAGCUCUGUCUUAUGGAUUGAUAACAAUGGUG
This 1572-nucleotide long non-coding RNA is filed under the name Triticum aestivum (bread wheat). RNAcentral describes it as "long non-coding RNA (TAES_LNC018073)". Lineage: Eukaryota; Viridiplantae; Streptophyta; Magnoliopsida; Poales; Poaceae. The record is from RNAcentral.